AUCGAACGCUGGCGGCAGGCCUAACACAUGCAAGUCGAGCGAGCGGCGGACGGGUGAGUAAUGUAUGGGGAUCUGCCUGAUGGAGGGGGAUAACUACUGGAAACGGUAGCUAAUACCGCAUACCAUCAGAUGAACCCAUAUGGGAUUAGCUUGUAGGUGGGGUAACGGCUCACCUAGGCGACAAUCCCUAGCUGGGCUGAGAGGAUGAACAGCUAAACGGAGACUGAGACACGGCCCAGACUCCGACGGGAGGCAGCAGUGGGGAAUAUGGCACAAUGGGCGCAAGCCUGAUGCAGCAAUGCGGCGUGUGUGAAGAAGGCGUUCGGGUUGUAAAGUGCUUUCAGUAGGGAGGCGUUACCGAAAGAGGAAGCACCGGCUAACUCCGUGCCAGCAGCCGCGGUAAUAC
This 406-nucleotide ribosomal RNA is filed under the name uncultured bacterium. RNAcentral describes it as "partial 16S ribosomal RNA". It matches the Rfam family "Bacterial small subunit ribosomal RNA", at positions 29 to 526 of the family's 1533-position model. The record is from RNAcentral.